CUAACUCAUAGCCCUGUAUUUUGCUAAGUUUUUCCUCUACUCUUGAGUCCUCCUUUAAUCUAUAGAGUGUUAUUCUACACUGGACCUCUCUCUUAUUUUUUGGAGUCUAGCAUCUUGCAUCUUCCUGGAGCCCCAACUAAACUCAUAACUUCUAAGCUUCUAAGAAAUAUAUGACGAGCUCCAUGAGGGCCAAGGCUGUCCAUUCCUGUUUACCACUGCACACUCAGGAGCUCAUGGCAUGCUGGCUGUGCUAGUUCUAUCCUCAACAGAAUAAUUGCUGACAAACUCUCUUGCCCAGAAAAUGUCUACUGGAAUUAUGGAGUACAAAAAAACUACAAAAGCAAUGAAAAAAAGAAGGAUGUUUUAUUUACAUCCUAUUUCAAAACCAUUGCUUUCUUGCUAUUGUAUGUCUCUGCAGGCCCAAUAUCGCGCAUCUUCAUAAGAAGUUUAGAAUUGUUCCUUAUGUUUCCUUCUAACAAACACUGGUAUAUUCACAUGAAAGUGUAUAUUUUUUUCACUUCCAAAACAGUUAGCUCAUAAUUCGGAACAUUGAGGUUUGCAAAAUGACUGAAGGAAACUUUACCUAAACAAUAGUUGCCAGUUCUGCUGAGAAUUAUCACGGGCCCACAACGGCUGUGUGUUUUUCCAUACAGAUAUUCUAAUUUUUUUUAUUAUGCAGCUAAUUUUUUUUAGACUCAUGAAUAAAAUAGCAAGUCAGUCUGUGCAUAAGCAUAUGUUUAAAUCUACCAGGAGAAAUGUCUGGAAUAUUUUUGGUUAUUAAAAUUAAAAUUCAGGAUAAUGAAAGGCAUAUGCAACUUAUUAUAUUCUUUAUAUAACUUAUUUCAUCUAAUCCUCCAAAUAGCUAUAUAACAUAUUUAUCCCCACCUUACAUAGA
RNAcentral lists this non-coding RNA (895 nucleotides) under Pan troglodytes (chimpanzee). The record is from RNAcentral. Lineage: Eukaryota; Metazoa; Chordata; Mammalia; Primates; Hominidae.